AGAAAGUUUGUGUUCAAAGCUUAUCCACUUACUUUAAUCCUUCAGUUUGUUCAAUUAUUACAAUGAAAUGUAAAAUUGUGUGCAGCAAAAACUUAUUUCAUGUUUCUAUAAUCAGGUUACAUUUCACGCUAGAGAGGUUCCUGUGGUACUGAACGGCAUGUCAUGUACCUGUUGUGCUGGGAAAGCACUGUGCAACCACAUCGUAGCACUACUGUUUCAAAGUGCUCAUUACAGUACCAUGGGGUUCAAGACAGUGCCAUUGCCACUGUCAUGCACUAGCUCACUGCAGACAUGGCACCGUCCUAGGACACAGGGAAUUGCACCUGAGUCAACAAACUGCAUGGUAGUGUGUAAACCAGUACCAAAAUCCCAGGAUCGUGCCCGAACUGGUGUGAAAUGUACACUGUACAGAGCAUAUAGUGGACCUCUUCCAGAUCCUAACAUCAUGGCCAGUGUUGAGAAGCUGCAAGAAAAACGCCCACAACCAGGCAUUUGCAAAAUACUGCAUGGACUUCAG
Non-coding RNA from Paramisgurnus dabryanus, 517 nucleotides. The record is from RefSeq and is a predicted model, not a curated record. Lineage: Eukaryota; Metazoa; Chordata; Actinopteri; Cypriniformes; Cobitidae.